GCAAAUCAAAAGUAAUAUAGGGAAAUCAAAGUAAUUCUAAAACAGAGCAAAAAGGUUACUAUCAUUGUGAAAGGUGACUUUUUCAUAUAUUUACAAUGAUCUGAUAAAAGUAAAUCAUAUUAUUGAAUAAAAAAUUUGAUGGAUGAAAAUAUGCAAAUAUACUACAAUGUAACAUCUGAAAAUUGCAUCAAACAAUUCUUCACAAGCCUUAAUUUUUUCAGCUUUAUAUGGUACCUAAAGUGUCUAUUUAGUAUGGAAGAAUGACAAACUAUCAAUGUAGUUAACACUUAUUUUGGACAAUCAACAAGUCUGGGAGCUACAACUACAAUUAUCUAGUUGUAGGAUCAUUAUUAAAAUACUACAAAACAGGAGUAGAGAAAGUACGAUUAACCAUAUCCUCUGUAGAGCAGCCCUUAGUCCAUUGUAUAAGAUCUCAUGAUGCUAUUGAUGUUUGCUAAUAGAAAAUGAAAAGGUAAAACCCAACUCUCUGUCCACCAAGUGAAAAAUAAAAUCAUCGCAUUGAGUAGCAAGAAAUAUGAUUAAAAUGCAAAAUCAUUCUUGGCAUAAGGCACUGGAGCAUAGAUUGAUAAGUAAAUCAUAGGAAUUGAAAAGAAACGUUGCAAAAAGCAUAGC
Molecule: long non-coding RNA, 633 nt
Filed under: Citrus maxima (pomelo)
Lineage: Eukaryota; Viridiplantae; Streptophyta; Magnoliopsida; Sapindales; Rutaceae
Description: long non-coding RNA (CMAX_LNC004417)
Source: RNAcentral